GUUAUCAUUAAGUUUGCUAGUUCAUCUGUCAGUCAGAUCUAUUCCAAGGCAGAGGAUAUAUUAAGUCCUGUCUUCCCUAUGCUUGGUGGGAAUCCAUUCCAGGAUAAGCACUGAUUCUUCUAACCAUCAUCUGGUAUUCUGUGCAGAAUCGGCUCCGUACAUUAGACUUUCUUUGAGAAUUUAAUGAUCUUACUGCUGAGAUAUCACAAUUGGCUGGGCCAGUUCUUCUUGGGGACUUUAACAUUCACAUCGAUAAACCUUCAAAGUCUGAUGUAGCUCAGUUCCUAUCCAUCAUAGAAUCAUAGAAUCUGCUAACUUGGUUCAAUAUGUCAUCACACCUUGUAAUGACCAGAGAUGAGAGUAAUCGUCAAGGACAAUACUCUGCAGACAUCUGUCCUACCCAUCAUGGCUGCAUCAUUGAAGACAUUGUCAUUCAUCAUAGUCUCAUGUCUGAUCAUCACAGCAUCCGAUUUGUACUCAGGUAACCUCGGCCGGUGGUUAAGAAAGUUAAGCGGACUUUCAGGAACUUCAAGGAAAUGGACAUCAAAGGAUUUAAUGAGGCACUGAUUGACAAACUUUAUAAUGACUUGUCCUCGGCUGGUGAUGUUGAUUCAGUACUUACUGCGUAUAACACAUCUGUUGCAGCCUGCGUUAAUGAGUUUGCUCCUCAGAAAUCAUGUCUCCGCUCCACAAGGGUUCGCAGUCCUUGGUUCUAUGAGGAAAUCCUUACUGCCCGUCGAGAAAGAAGACAGAUUGAACGGAAAUGGAUCAAAAGUUCUUAUGACACUGAUCACACAUCUUUUAAGCUAGCUAACAAGCAUGUUAACGACCUCAAAGUUAAGGCUAAGCAAAAAUACUAUACGGAGUUACUACAUGUAUGUCAAAACAUGUUGUUAAUAAUCUGCUCCACAAGAAUGUUAAGUUUCUCCCUGAGUAUGGUAAUCCUAUUGAUCUAGCAAAUCGUUUUUCUUUGUUCUUUGUCAUCAAGUGCAUCAAAAUAUCCAUUUUUAUUAUUAUUAUUACAGUUAUCAUGGCUUAAGAACUACUGUUCUUUAAUCAUUCUAUCAUUUACCCUAACUUACCUAUGACAUUUUUUGCGAUAAUUCCGCCAUGUUAAAUACUUUUACCAUGCUUUUCCCUACUCUUUACUUUCAAGUCUUGUGCAACUUUUGAGACCAAAUUUGUUACAGCUUGUUGUUAUGCGAUAUAGGAAUAUUGUAAUUUUAUGGUUAUUACAGACUUCAAAUUGCUAAAGAGCAUGAUUUCAUGUAGUAACAUUCUAGACAUCAAGACUUAUCUCUUUUCAUUGUUGUAGUGCAAUGUAGUUCAACUAAAUAUUACAAUAUAAAGUAGGAUGCUAUGUAUAUUUAAUGUAGCUUUAUGUGAGUAUAAUGUAAAAUAAUAUUGUUCUAUAAUGAAACUCAACUUAAUAAUUGCUCAAAAAUUUGUAAUAAAUAAUUUGUAAAGCGUAUAGAGAUCACAA
This is a long non-coding RNA of Lytechinus variegatus (green sea urchin), 1483 nucleotides long. RefSeq lists it as uncharacterized. Lineage: Eukaryota; Metazoa; Echinodermata; Echinoidea; Temnopleuroida; Toxopneustidae. The transcript has 2 exons. The record is from RefSeq and is a predicted model, not a curated record.